ACGGCUCAGUAACACGUGGACAAUCUAACCUAAGGUGGGGGAUAACCCCGGGAAACUGGGGAUAAUACCCCAUAGGCUAUAGAUGCUGGAAUGCGCUGUAGCCGAAAGGUCCGCCGCCUUAGGAUGGGUCUGCGGCCGAUUAGGUUGUUGUUGGGGUAACUGCCCAACAAGCCUGUAAUCGGUACGGGUUGUGGGAGCAAGAGCCCGGAGAUGGAUUCUGAGACACGAAUCCAGGCCCUACGGGGCGCAGCAGGCGCGAAAACUUUACAAUGCGGGAAACCGUGAUAGGGGAACUCCGAGUGCCCGUUAAAUCGGGCUGUCCACCAGUUUAAAUAACUGGUGAAGAAAGGGCCGGGCAAGACCGGUGCCAGCCGCCGCGGUAAUACCGGCGGCUCGAGUGGUGGCCACUAUUACUGGGCUUAAAGCGUUCGUAGCUGGUUUGUUAAGUCUCUGGGGAAAUCUUCCGGCUUAACCGGAAGGCGUCUCAGGGAUACUGGCAGACUAGGGACCGGGAGAGGUGAGGGGUACUCCAGGGGUAGGAGUGAAAUCCUGUAAUCCUUGGGGGACCACCUGUGGCGAAGGCGCCUCACCAGAACGGCUCCGACAGUGAGGGACGAAAGCUGGGGGAGCAAACCGGAUUAGAUACCCAGGUAGUCCCAGCCGUAAACGAUGUGCGUUAGGUGUAUCGGUGACCACGAGUCACCGAGGUGCCGAAGAGAAAUCGUGAAACGUACCGCCUGGGAAGUACGGUCGCAAGGCUGAAACUUAAAGGAAUUGGCGGGGGAGCAC
RNAcentral lists this ribosomal RNA (789 nucleotides) under uncultured methanogen R9. RNAcentral's name for it is "bacterial SSU rRNA". It matches the Rfam family "Archaeal small subunit ribosomal RNA", at positions 85 to 879 of the family's 1478-position model. The record is from RNAcentral.